UACGGGGGGGGUAAGCGUUGUUCGGAAUUACUGGGCGUAAAGGGCUCGUAGGCGGCCAACUAAGUCAGACGUGAAAUCCCUCAGCUUAACUGGGGAACUGCGUCUGAUACUGGAUGGCUUGGAUUUGGGAGAGGGAUGCGGAAUUCCAGGUGUAGCGGUGAAAUGCGCAGAUAUCGGGAGGAACACCGGUGGCGAAGGCGGUUCUCUGGGCCGAUACUGACGCUGAGGAGCGAAAGCGUGGGAGCGAACAGG
Molecule: ribosomal RNA, 252 nt
Filed under: uncultured bacterium
Lineage: Bacteria
Description: partial 16S ribosomal RNA
Rfam family: Bacterial small subunit ribosomal RNA
Source: RNAcentral